RNAcentral lists this ribosomal RNA (242 nucleotides) under uncultured bacterium. RNAcentral describes it as "partial 16S ribosomal RNA". It matches the Rfam family "Bacterial small subunit ribosomal RNA", at positions 91 to 334 of the family's 1533-position model. The record is from RNAcentral.
CGGACCGGCGCACGGGUGCGUAACGCGUAUGCAACCUACCUUUAACAGGGGGAUAACACUGAGAAAUUGGUACUAAUACCCCAUAAUAUCAUAGAAGGCAUCUUUUAUGGUUGAAAAUUCCGAUGGUUAGAGAUGGGCAUGCGUUGUAUUAGCUAGUUGGUGGGGUAACGGCUCACCAAGGCGACGAUACAUAGGGGGACUGAGAGGUUAACCCCCCACACUGGUACUGAGACAUGGACCAG